UUGCUUCGACAGCACGUAUACUAAAAUUGGAACGAUACAGAGAAGAAUAGCAUGGCCCCUGCACGUAAGUUACAGAAUGAGGAAGACGUGCAUCCAACAAAU
This 102-nucleotide small nuclear RNA is filed under the name Cebus imitator (Panamanian white-faced capuchin). The record is from RNAcentral. Lineage: Eukaryota; Metazoa; Chordata; Mammalia; Primates; Cebidae.